RNAcentral lists this long non-coding RNA (30697 nucleotides) under Capsicum annuum. Its description in RNAcentral is "long non-coding RNA (CANN_LNC018735)". The record is from RNAcentral. Lineage: Eukaryota; Viridiplantae; Streptophyta; Magnoliopsida; Solanales; Solanaceae.
UAGAAGACAACUUUGAGAAACACACAAGCAUGCUCAAGUAAAUAGAGAUGGUUACUCGUUGCAGUUCACACAAAUGAUUGGUACUCUCUCACGGGUACUUACCUCUCUACUGAAGUGCUCUCGCUUGCGCAUGUAGAAGAAACUUUAAAGGUUUUCUUUAUGAGAUGCAUCGAUCCUUCUGCAUCCCAUAUCCUUCUGCUCUUACUAAAGUCACUAUUAUUCUCUUUAACUACUAAAUCAAAUCUAUGUAAUUACACCAAUAUACAAUAAUAUAUGAUUACUCUAAUAUACAAUAUUUACAUCAUGCUAACAAUCAUGACCCGAGUUUUUGGGUCGUGACAUGAUCCCACCCCCAUGUCGUGUCGACAUGGUUUUGGCACCGAAAGUGAAGAAUCCGAGCAACUCAGACUACUACAUGCCAAAUUGAAGUGCGAGACACUUCAUCACUGACAGUAGACUUGGACGCAAACUUUUAGAGGUAUACGUGGGACUUACUGUAAUGCACAAUUGGAUCCUGAUUCUCAAAGUGCAUUGCUAUCUAACAAGGUUAUAGUGUUCGUAAUCUAGAAGACAACUUUGAGAAACACACAAGCAUGCUCAAGUAAAUAGAGAUGGUUACUCGUUGCAGUUCACACAAAUGAUUGGUACUCUCUCACGGGUACUUACCUCUCUACUGAAGUGCUCUCGCUUGCGCAUGUAGAAGAAACUUUAAAGGUCUUCUUUAUGAGAUGCAUCGAUCCUUCUGCAUCCCAUAUCUCUUCAUAUUCAUAUGUCUCAUCUUCACUUUUCAGUUUUUCCCCACCUCCAGAAAAGCUAGAACUAAUUAGACUUCUCAUAUUCUUCAGAAAUCCACCAAGAUAGUGCUGAAAGAGAACACCAUUUGUAGGCCAAAAAACGGCAAUAAGAAGGGUCAAUACAAACAGAAAUAGAUACCUGCCACAUUCAGAAAACAAACUUUAAUAAUACAAGAAACACGGCUUAUAAGAUAGAUUUUUUUUGCAUCUCAAUAUACAGAAUUACCAUAUAUAAAUGUACGUCUGCACAGGGAGAAAGCACACUUUGGUGGAAAUUGCCUCCUCGGGUAUUGAUCCGUCUGGCAAGAUACGAUUACUCGCAGAUAAUAGCAUGUAAGAUGGAAACAAAUUUCCCUGCUGCCAGCUUAUUGUCCCUAGAGUAUGCUGCACAAUGGUAUCAAUCAAACACCAUCCAGUCAAUACAAACUUUUUCAAUUGAACAAGGCGGGCUACCUCUUUUACGGAACCAUAUUUUGACUUGUGGAUCACUGUACACUGAUCAUGGUCAUGCCCAGAGAGAAUUAGUGCCUGCAGAAACUCAAAAAAAUGCAACCUAGAAAUCAUUCAUUUCAACUAGUACUGCGUAGAGAUACCCUUUACAUUUACUAGUUCGUUUUGGACAUGCAUAAUAGAAUGGAAGGAAACACUUACAGGUUUGAUCGCGUCAAGCAGAUCAUUUGUUCCGUUUUCAGUAAUAAAGUUUUGAUAUCUGUGAAUCGAAUUGUGAUUAAGUCUAACAUAUAAAUAAACAUACAUGCGUAGAGACAUGGCAAGUACAUACAAAGGCACAGUAAAGUGAGAAUAAGAGCUUACAAUAUUUCAUUAUCUUGAGCAGCUCGGUUGAUUCUCUGAAAUAUGUAAUUUUUCACUAUAAAUAUGAGAGAUAUGUUUAUGAAAAAAAUAUGUUGAGUAUGUUGAUUAACCAUAUUACAAGAAAAGAUACACUUUUCUCCUCAUAAUAGAUGACAAACAAAACAGAAGAAGAAUUUUUAAAGAUUGUUUAAGUUCUCCAGACUCUCAAUCCCUAAUUUUUAGGUUCUCGAAACACAAGCUAAUUUUUUAUUUUUUUUGACAAGCUCAAAAAAAAAAGGUUAAAUGUUACCUGAUUAAUAAUUGAUGAUGCACGAUAUGGACCGCAUGCAGUUGAAUCCGGCCGAUACAAUGGAAUAUGAGUCAAUAGAACCCUUGAAUUUGAAGAUGAAUCUGCACAAGACACAGAAAAAGGAACCGAGCUUUUACACAUAAGCCAAAUUCACAACAUAAAAUGGAUAGUGAUUAGCUGAACGUACGCUUAGAGACAUUUUUGACAAAAUUCCAUGUGGCAAGGGUUACAUUGUUUAGGGGAUGCCCUGUAGACAAGAGAUUUUGCUGUGAGUCUUCACAAAAUCACAACACCAUGAGUCGAACCAUAAUCAGUAGUGUCUAUUUCAUUGUAACUGAUAGGAAGAAAAGCAAAAUCAUGAUUGGUUGAAGAUAUCCGAAACUGAGAUUACCAAGAAAAAGAUAUUGAAUUUUCACAAACUCUUCUUUCUUUUUUUGCACAAAUAAGUUGAGUAAUUUUUGAGUUUUUGCAAACUUUCAAAUGGUGAGCUUUUCUUGUUAUUCAAGAAGCGCACACAAGAAAAUAAUGUGUAGAUCCAUAUAUUCUUGAAUAGUUACUUAAAAAUGGAUGUUGAUACUUUGACACACAAGAAAAGUUAAUUUUAUCUCUAAACGGUAACUGUUGAAGUCCCCAAACUUUUAUAUAUUAAUGGAAAUAACAAAAAGAUUUCCAAACAAAGAGUAGAUUGUGAUAUUACCAUCUAAGGUUUGUGCAUCGAUCGCAAUGAAAUCUACUUUCCCAGCUGUAAAUUGAUAGUUCCUCGCACCAAAUGCUUUCUCAUAGCGUUUGAUAACCUGCAUCAUGGAGUACACGUAUAAGACCGGAAAUAGAAUUAGCAGAAAACCGGAAUUAGAAUGCUAAAUGGUUUGACGUAAUUUAAGUAUGAGAACCUAAAGAAGUCAUUGACUUCAGCAAAAUGUAUAAUAGGAUCCAAGACAUAAUGUCAGAGCCUGGGAAUCGGUCCGAUAUUUUACAGUGGAAGCAACCACUAAGGCUUACAUUAGUGUAGGUUGUCUACAUCACACCCUUGGGGUGCUGCCCUACCCCCACCCUGCUAACGCAGAAUGCUUUGUGUACUGGACAGCCCUUUUUAUUUUUAAAGAGACAUUUGAUGCUCAUCGAAACAGAGCACUGCUACCACAGAUUGAAGUUUGUAUGGCUUUCUUUAAGCAUCUACAAACACAUCAACUUUACCAUCAACUACAAAACUAGAUGACCUAAUCGGAACGCUCUUCAUGUUAUGAAUGAUAAAUUAGUCAACUUAAUGAAUGCUCAAAGGAUCGUGACUCCAAAAUUAACUUCAAUCAUCCAACUCAAUGAACUAAAGUUAAAUUAUCCUAGUUAUUAAACUUUUUCUGCAAUUAGAUGCUGUUGUUUCUGGAUCCUCUUAAUGUGAAAACCUGGUGCGCAUCAGAACUCUUGGUUGUAGGGAAUUUGGGUGCAUCAAAUUUCCCUUACAAUUAUGAUCAACAAGGUGAUUAGCUACAGUUAAUCUUGGACACUAUUCCAGAAAAUUUCUAGUAUCUGGGAUACUUGAAAGACAAGCUCAAGACUAAAUUUUAAACAAAUGUUUACUAAUGCGAUAACAUAGCUUGCACAGGCCAUAGCUCACCAAAAAAUAUUUCUUCAGCACUCAUUGUGCAACUUCCAUACACGCAAUGUUUUAGGAGGCUUGAUCUCUAUCAUUCCAGAAGCUUAUGAAUAAUUGAUAGUCCCUCCAGUUCAACUUGUUUAUCCUACUUUCCUUUUCAAUCCAUUUCAAAGUACCUCUUUCCUUUUUUCCAACUUUUUAAUUUCAACUUUUCACAUGACAUGUUUAACACCACAAGAUUAAAGGAUAUUUUGGUACAUUCUACAUAUCUUUGAUUUAAAAACACAAUAUACAAAAGUGUUCUUUACUUUCUUAAACUCCGUGCCAAAAAGGGCAAUCAAAUUGAGGCGGAUGGAGUAUAUGAUAACAAGAUGAGAUAUGAACAAAUCUAAAAGCAUAUUAAAUAUGUUCCGAGUAAUACAACUCCAUCUGAAUAAUUAACACACCUCUGGUAUAUGCGAGUGAAAAGCUGCAUACCCUAUAUCAUGGUUUCCAGCAAGGUAGUACAGCUUUAUGUUUGUUGUUUGCUCAAGCAUGUCAAUGUCAAAUAUAUGUUUAAACCGGCUCCAGGAUUCCUGCCAUCUAUCAAGCUAAAUAAAUCGAGGUCCAAAGCAGAAGAAUAACGGGAGACAAUCAGAUACUUCAUCUAUGAAAAUGACCAAAAUAUGAACUUUAUAUAAGGAAUCAACAGAUAGGAAUGUGCAUUAAAUUUGUCCAAGAAGUAGUUUUCGAUGAGAGAAACAGGCCUUAAGGGAACUUUAAGAGCCAAAAUGGAGUCGUGAAGCUUUAAUUACUGAAUCCUUCCCAAUGGUCUUUCCAGAUCCGUUUCGAUCUGAUUCUAAAUUUUGUUUCAGGAAAGAUCUGUUGAAAUUUGCAUUUAUUUACUGCAGUAAGUUAUCUAUGUUUAGGGUGUGGUGCGGGUUUUUUCUAAAUCCGCAAAUUUAAAAGCCGCCCCGCAUCACCUUUAAAGCCGCAUAAAUUCGCCCCACACUCAUACCCGCGCAUACCUGUACCGCACCGCCCCACGUUUUUGUUUUUGUUUUUUUGUUUUUUGAAAAAUUUAUAACUCCGUUGAAAACCAUAAUAUUUCCAAAUCUGCAAUUAGAAAGUAGUAACAACCUAUUUCUAUUAUAUCAUUUUUACCAAGAAUUGACAAGAAGUAUCAUGUAUACAAGCAAUGAUCAAAUAUAGAUUUUCAUUUAUAAGAUAAAUCAAGAAAUUAAAAUUAGUGAUCAAUCAGUUUAUCUGAUUAUUUAAGUCCUUGCUAUAAGGAAAAACAACUUGUGUUUGAUAUUUUGUGUUAUAAAAUUGUUAUACUGAUUUCAAAAGAAAAGUUAUGAAACUAUUUAUUUGGAGCAUUAUACAUGUCGUAUUAAGUAUGACAAAAUUUUAAGUAAAGAAUACAUAUAAUUUUAGGUAGAUUCACGAGAAUAAUACUAAUUUUAGCUUCUAUACUAAUUUUAAUUUCUUUUUUUUUUUUUGGUUUAAACCCGCAUAUAUCCGCAACCCGCCCCGCACUGCAUCAUUUUAAAAAGAUUUACUCCAACCCGCCUGCUCUCCCACAUAGUCUAAAACUCGCACCGCCCCGCACCUGCACCGCCCCAUUGUCAUCCCUACAUUUUAAUCCAUAAUGGCUACCUAUUUUAACCCGUCAGGACUACCAUUUUCAACCCAUGCUUAUUUUGAAUGCAUAGGGCUAUUUUCAAUAAAUUCAGACGUCAAACAACAGUCUCUCUUUGAAUGCCCCAGAAAAUUUCACUAACAAAACUUAUCAAAUUUGGUUAGUGAAAAUGAAAUCAUACUUUAUAAUCUAUGUCAUAUUUGUUGUUGUGAUGGAAGAAAAAUACUUGCAACAUCAUUUUGUAAAUCCUACAAUUGUCCAAAUAAAAACACUUUCUAAAGAGAUUCUACACAAGACAAUGUCAUGGAAGAUGUUUUUUAAGCAGAAAACCCAAGGAAGAAAAAGAAAGAAAAAGAGGAAGAUUGAUAUCCAAAAAAUGUGCAAGUUCAAAAAUAACCAAGAAAAAUUUAGCAUCAACUGCCAGAACAAAACUGAGGAGCAGCAGUUUUUAAAUUGCAAUAACUAAAGCAAAGAGGAGUGUUGAAAUUUUGCAUUUAGUUACUGCAAUAAUUUUUAGUCCAAUAAGUUAUCUAUAUUUAGGGUGAAUUUGAAUUUUGAAUUUUAGUUAGGUUGUUUAAGAUGUUAGAGAUGUUUUUGUUUGUUUGAAUUUUGAAUUAUGCAGUUUGUUAUUGUAAGUUCACAAUUUAAAGCCCCGUACGCUUAAGAAGAUUGUUGAAAGUUAUUGAAAGUCAUUUCAAUCCAUUGAGAGUCAUUUAAACCCCUUUUUUGCGGCCUACGGAUACUGCUAGGGGAUAGAGUCAAAAUUGAAGUAGGUCCUUAUGAUUCAAUCAAAGGGCGUAUUAUUUAUACAUGGGAAGCUAAUCUUGUUGAUCAAAGCUAGGUUUCGAUCUUCAUCCAUAAAGUAGUUUAACUUUUUUAGCUAAUCUUGUUUAUCAAAGCUAUGUUUCGAUCUUCAUCCAUAAAGUAGUUACACUUUUUUAGGAGAGAAAAAUUUCCAGACAAAACAUAAAGCAUACACAACUUAGUACUUACUCUUCAUCUGACAGAAAUGGCCCACCAUCAAAAUAAUCACCUAGAAACAGAAUUACAUCUGGUUCGGAAGGUAAAAUAGAUGACAGGAAUGCCCUGCGCAUAUACAAAUCUGUAUAGAACUGAGCAGCUUCAAGUGCAAGGGAUUUCGGGGCAAGACGAAGAGAGGUUCUAUCCAUGAGCUGUCAAAAUAUAAAAUAUGUUGUGAAUAUGAAAUCAAAAUGUCAAAGCACACAACAUAUAAAGAUAAGCACAGUAAAGUCACCACUAUUUUCAGAAGGAAUACCUGAGGAUCAGUCAAAACAGCAAUUUUCACAUAGUCACGUUGAUGAUCUACCCCAUCCGUCUAAAAUCAAGGGGGAAAAAGUGUUAGCAUGCCUGAGUGUCUUAGUAUGUAUUUUUAGCACACACCAAGUAGGAAAAGCUGUUAGUAUAGUUUUUGAAGUAUCUAGUAUACGAAGUCCACCACUUAUACAUGUACUUAUAAGUUAUCCACCACUUACACAUGUAAUAAUAAAUUAGCUUUCCCAUAGAUUUCUUUCAUUUUCAUUUUAAUUAUCUAAGAAUGCCAGCCCCUUGUUAGAUCUGAAUUAAUCAGGGGCCUUUGAUAGACUUGUAUUCUCAAUGAAUAAGCAAGACUGCAAGUAGCAUAAAUGCAAUAGGAAGCAGUGCGCAAGCAUAAAACGAAAGGCCAACUAUCUUCUACUCCGUCCGUUUCAUAUUAUUUGGCCCCUGUUAACCUGCCACAUCCCUUAAGAAAGCUUUAGUUAGAGAUGUAUUUUACUAAACUUACGUUAUUAAUAAUGCUUUGAAACUCUAAGUUUGAUUACUACUACUUUAUGUAGUUAUUUAAUACUAAGGGUGGAAAGGAAACUGAAGAUGAUGACAGUUGACAAGGUUGAGUUCAAUUGCAUACACUAAUUCACAGAUAAAACUGGAAGAACAAAUUCUUCUCUAUUGGUCAACGCAGUCAACGCUGAGUAAUUCCUGAUCUGAAUAAAUCUAUAACUGAUUCCCACAGAAGAUUAACAAAAUGGGAACCAUUUCACAAUAACUAAAGCUUAAUCACUAUUUAACUAAAAGAAGAAAGAAAAUCAUUUCUUCAACAUCACCACAACCCCUCAAAAUCCCAGCACAAUUGCAACUGAACAUUGUCCAUUGUCCAUUUCAUCCGAAAAUAGAAUAAUAUUCCACAAGAUUAAAGGGUAUUUUGAUACAUUUGACAUAUCUUUAAUUUUUUAUGACAAGAUUCAAAAGUUGUUCUUAACUUUCUUAAACUUCGUGUCAAGUCAAAUACGCCGAACAAAUUGAAAUGGAGGGGGGGGGAUUCUUGAAUCUAGCUCAAAGAAAGAUAAAGUCAAGUGAAUUCCCACUUUAUCAAAGUUUGGAACUUCAUCAUGGAAUAAGAAACAUUUCAUCCAAAAUCAGAAUAAUACAGGGGGUGGGGUGGGGGGAUGGUUCUUGAAUCUAGCGCAACAAAGAUAAAGUCAAGUGAAUUCCUACAUCAAAUUUUGGAACUUUACCGUGGAAUAAUGAGAAAGAAAUGAUUUGGGUGGGGGUUUGUGCUUCUUGAAUCUAGCUCAAGUAAAGAUAAAGUCAAGUCAAGUGAAUUGCUAACUUCAGCAAAGUUGGAAUAUUACCAUGGAAGGAGGAGGAGGCCAAGAACAGGAGAGAAAAGGGAGCCAAAAAGAGAACAUCUCUCCAUAGAGGAGAGUCAAUGCCCAAAUUAAGCUCAAGAAAGCUGCUAACUUCAACAUCUUAGCUCAUCAAUUACAUACUGCUAACUCUCUCUACCUCCAUUUUCUUGUAGAUCCCAAAGCAAAGCACAGAGAAUAGACAACUGAACAAGUUUCUAUUUUUACACUUUAUAUUAGUUGGACUUUUAGCUAGAGCAGGUGACUUUGCUAUCAAUGGUGAUUUCUUUUCUAUUUAUUCCUUUUUUCUUAUUUUAUUUUCAAUUCGGUAUUCGAUAUUUGCAUUGAAACAAGAUUAUAUCUUGAUCGUGCAUUGAAACACUCUUAACAUGAUUUUUUUAGUGAAAAUUUGGCAAUUAAGCCUCUUCAAAUUUUCAAUUAGCAAAAUGAUCUGCCCUCUUCAAGUUUUCAAUUAGCAAAAUGACCUACUUUUAUUUUCUUAUUUGUCGGAUAGAUAACAAAUCUGUCUAUAUAUCUGUCGGACAAAUAAUUGAUCUUCCAUAUGUCAGAUUGUUAGACAGAUAAUAAAUUUAUCUCAAAAAUAGAUUAUUUUCCUAAAUAAAAAUUUUUUUGGUCCAUUUAAUUAAAAAAUACACUUAAAAAAUCUAUUUAACAAAGAGUUCCAUUUUUUUAUAUCUAAAUUCGAAUCCGAGACGUCUUAUCAAAAGGUGGAGGUACCCAACUAUUCCACCACAAAUUUAUGUUGGCUAUAUAUUGCUUCCGUUCACGUUUGGACAAUGUUUAAUUGAACAUUUAAACAAUUACUAUUUAAAGUUUUGUUUUAUGUAUUCGAUUAAAUUUGAAUUUACGAAAAGUUUAGUUUACAUCUUUUUCAUCUUCAAGAUCUUUUAAUUAAGAAUCAAAGGAUCACAACUAUUCUGUCACAAGUCAUCUCAGUAGUAUGUAAAGUUAGUCGAAGAAGCUUUAUGAGUAAAUACUCAAUAUCAUACUCAUAUUACAUUGAAAUAUUGCUCAAACAAGUUUUUCAACUUCAAUGUUAUAUUUCAAGCUAAACUUAAAACGCUGAAUAAAUGGUAAAAUAAAUUAAUUUGGAAAUAAUAGUUCAAUAUUUACAAGAAUUACUUGGUUUAUGUUCAAAGGCCUUAGCCUAGUAGAUCGGUCUUAAUUAAAUGUUGAUUUCUUAGAUCUUAGAAAGUAUAACUGUAUCACUUGGGAAAUCUGUAUCACUUUAUUACUAAAACUUAAGUGAACAAUUACAGAUAAUUUAUUUUUAAAAAAAAAAAAACUAACUGAACAAUUACAGAUAAUUUAUUUAUUUUAAAAAAAAAAAUGUUGACUUCCCAUUCAAUAGUAUCAAGACCCAGUAGAUGAAGAGAAUUGUUGCAACAUUUUGAUUCAUUAGAAAAUAUCGAACAUUUACUUUUACUCUUUAGUAUUUAUUUGUUGGUGCAUCAUAUAUUAAUUUUUCUACUAAAAAAAAUACACAUAUUAUAUAGUGAUAGUUAUAAUUUUAGUAUGUGUUGUCAUAAAAGAUUUUUUUAUCUUGAAUGAAUUGUUUUUAGAAGAUUACUAAUAAGACGGAAAGCACACACCAGAUCGUCAACAUGUCUAUUUCAGCUGUGUACUUUACUUAGUAUAGAGUUAAUUGGCUUGGUGGACAAUGUUUGUUAUUUUAUGUUGCACGUCUGUGGUUCGAGACUCUGUACCAAUCUUUAAUUUUUCUAAAAAUUAUACAAAUACACAACUUGUGUUUUCAAUAUUACAAAAAAUCCUAACUCCCUAAACCUAUUACAAAAAUCCCAACAUAUACACAAAAUGUUAUGUUUAUGUCGGCUAUGUUAUGUAUAUUAAUGGGGAGAGAGAGUAAAGUAAUUAAAAAAGUGGGAGAGAGUGUAAUUACUUUCAAAAGGGUUGGUAUUUAUGUUAUCUAUACUUAAUUUUUGCAUAUGCAGCUGCUGCUGCUUAUUGGGCUCACAUUGUUGUUGUUUAUUUAAUGGGCCCAAUUUUUGCAUAUGCAGCUGUUGCUGCUUAUUAGGCUCACAUUGUUGUUGUUUAUUUAAUGGCCCACAUUAGUUUUCACCAAUUCUUUUUUUUUUUUCGGUAAAUAGGGGAGAUUUGCAUUAAUAAAAGAGUUUUUUACAAGAGAAACAGCCUAACCAGGCUCAAAAUAGUAAACACUGGGCAUUGAAUGCCCAUUACAAUUUGUAGCUCGUGGGAAGGACUUGCCCGUAAAGUCCUCCCAAAAGAUUACUCUUACAUUAACAGGCGGAGUUACAAAAAUAUGCAUUUUAUCCAAAAACUUUUGCUUUGAUCCCUGCUUAGCCAUCCAAUCCGCUACUCUAUUCUGUUUCCGAUAUGUGUGGUAGACCGGAGAAUUCCCCAAGCUCCUUAGUAGAGACCUGCAUGCAUAAAUAAUUGAAUCAUAUAGCAAGUUUCCCUGGUGCAGCAUGUUAAUUAUUUUCAUAGAGUCAAUGCUCACAUCUAAGGGUUGCAAGUUGUGAUCCAAAGCUAGUUGGAGACCCUCUUUGAGAGCAAGAAGCUCUAUAAGGUUGUUAGUGGCAUAAGUGAAACUCUUGCUGAAGCCAAGGACACAGUUUCCUCUGCUAUUCCUAAAAACCCAUCCAAUUCCCCCUUUCCCCGGGUUCACAAGACAUGAACCAUCAGUGUUCAGCUUGUAGGUGUUAGGGGUUGGGCAUAGCCACUUCACACAGGUGACAUUGGCAGGGUGAUGGUUUGUGGGGUUUCCCAAGUAGUGAUACUCCACCGCUUCCGCAUAGGGGAUGCUGAAGCUAGGGGGAGUUUUGAGUCUUGGAAGUUAUAAGCAUUUCUAACUUUCCAAAGGUGCCAUAAGAAAAAGGAUAGGAGAGUACCCCAGGGAGUGUUGGUGUCAAAGGAGUCUUUGCUAAGAGUUUUCCAAGUGGAAGACUAGUUAUUAGUGUCAAACGUAGAUAGGUGGAGAUAGAGGUUUCCCUUAUAUUUAUGGAUAAGGUUAAGCCAAAAGGCUUUGGCAGUGUUGCAACCAAAGAAAAUGUGGUUCUGGUCCUCAUUAUCUAAGUUGAAGGAGAGACAGGCCCCUUUUGGAAAGAGAGACUCUAGUUGGGAGGUUGUUAUGGUGCAAAAGCCACAUAAAGGUUUUGAUCUUGUUGGGGACGUGGAGGUGCCAAAUACAGUAAUAGGAAGUGUAAUUCCUGUUAGGGACCUUUUUCAGGUUGGUGAUGUAGUGAUAGACACUCUUGCAAGAAAAGGUGCCAUCACCAGUGAGUCUCUAGAGGGGGGUGUCAUGGUUUAAGUGAGAACUUUGGAGGAAAGCACUACGGAUAUUAUGAGUGAUGGUUGGAGGAAGGUCAUAGGGUAGGGAGCUGAGGUUCCAAUUACCUUUCCUCCAGACAUCCUUAACCAUGUUAGGGUUCAGAGGGUUAUUUAAAGGCCCAAGGAUAAUAGCAGAUAGGGGAGGCAUUCCAGGUACCCAUCUAUCAUCCCAAGCCCUGACCUUAUCCCCAUUCUUGAUAGCCCAAAAUAGAGCAUCUCUGCACAUGUUCCAGCAUUUUGUGAUGUUGUUCCAUGUCCUUAAGCCUGUGUUGGUGGCCUUUAUCCCAGUGCCAUACUUGGAUAUGAGGGUCUUAGCCCAAAGGGGGGUGGGGUUGGAGUGCAUUCUCCAACCCAGGCUGCAGAUAAGGGCAUCAUUUCUUAUGGUAGCCUUAUGGAUGUCCAUACCACCAUCUUUUUUGUGAAAAGUGAUGGUGUCCCAGCCAAGAAGAUGCAUCUUUCUUUUGAUAUUGGUGGUGCCCCAGAUGAAAUUUCUCUGAGUUCUGUCAAUCAGCUUGUGGAUGGUUCGAGAGAGAUGGAUAUACUGCAUAACAUGGUUGGGGAUGCUUGCUAGGAAGGCUUUGGCAAGUGUGACCCUGCCAGAUAUGUUAAGGAACUUGGUUUUCCACCCAACAAGCUUGUUAUUUAAAUUGUCAAUGAUGAAUUGAAAGUCAUAUUUCACAUGCUACUUGUGGAAGAUGGGAUACCCCAAGUACUUGCCAAAGAGGUCUGAGGGGUGGAUGUCAAGGAUAGAGGAAAGGUAAGCCUGAUCUUGCUGCCUGCAAUUAGUAGAGAAGAUAACUUUAGAUUUAGCAAGGUUGAUUUUCUGCCCAGAGUGAGAGCUGAAGCUCUGAAGAAGCCUAUUAAUGGUGUGGCAGUUCUUAGAGCUAGCCCUGGCAAAAAGGGUGAGGUCAUCAGAAAAGGUAGGAGACAGGGGGCCUCUGUUAUAAAUGAAAAUGGGGUUCCAGUUAAGAGUGUCCACCUCAUAGUUGAUCCUCCUAGAAAGGAGUUCCAUGCAGAGGAUGAAGAGGUAGGGAGACAUGGGGUCACCCUGUCUAAUGCCCCUAGAGGGGUUGAAAGGGUUGGCUUUUCUACUAUUGAUCAGAAUGGAUAUGGAGGAAGAGGAAAUACAAGAUAGGAUGAGCUUAGUGAGGUUCUUAGGAAAAUUAAAGAAGUUAAGGGCUUGUCUAAUAAAGGACCACUCUAUCAUGUCGAAGGCUUUCUCCAAGUCUAUCUUGAGAAGCAUGCAGGCUUUUUUUCCUUUCAUCUUGGAGAAGUGGCUAACAUACUCCUAGAUAAGAAUGGCAUUAUCCGAGGCCCUUCUUUUGGGCAUGAAGCUGGCUUGACUGGGGUCAAUGGUUUUAGCCGGAAAAGGUUUCAACCUAGUGGUGAUGAUCUUAGUGAUAAUCUUAUAUUGGGUAUUGCAGAGGCUAAUGGGCCUAAAGUUCUUUAGGGAGGUGGCAUUCCAAUAUUUGGGAAUCAGACAGAGGUAAGUGGAGUUAAUCUUAGGGUCCAUGGUGUAGGAGGUGAAGGUUUCCUGAUAGAAUUUGACCAGAGUGGGGCCCAGGGUGUCCCAGAAAUUCUGGUAAAAAAAGGGGUGGAGCCUAUCAGACCCAGGAGCUUUGUUGGGUUUAAAAGAGAAUACAGUUCUCCUUACAUCCUCAGGUGAAGGGACAACUUGGAGCAGGUCAUGGUUGAGGGAGUUGAUAGACCCAAGGGGGGAAGGGUUUUACUGAGUGUCAAUGUACCCACAAGAGUGUUCAGUAGUAUAAAGGUUAACAUAGAAGGUGGAAAUGAUAUUGGCAAUAUCCUUGGGGUGGUAAUGCCAAAUGCCAUUUCCAUUUACAAGAGAUUUGAUUUUGUUCCUUCUUCUCCUGUUGAGAGUGAAAGUAUGGAAGAAUUUAGUAUUUGAAUCCCCUUCCAAAAGCCAUGAGAUUCUGGAUUUGAGCUUCCAGAACUCAGUCUCUAGAUUAAGGAUGUGAUUGAACUCCUUCAGAAGAGUAUUUUCCAGCCCAUGGAGGAAAGAACUAGAGGGGUAGUUUGGGGAUCUUUGAAUGCCAACUAACCUUACAAGCAAGUGCUUUUUCUUUUUAAAAAUAUUGCCAAAGAUGGUCCUAUUCCAGUCCCUGGCUUUACCCUCGAAAGCAAGGGUGGCCAUGGUGAGGCAGGGACAGUUAGAAAAGGAGUUCUUGAUGAGGUUUGGGAAGUCCUGAUGGCCGAGCCACAUGGAUUCCACCCUGAAAGGUUUAACCUGAAUACCUGGGGGAUCCCAUGCUCAAGAGGAGGGGUGGGUUUUAGGUAGGUGGGUGACAGAUGCCUCAGGGUAUAGAUGGACCUACAGGUCAUUAGCCAGCCCUCUAUCUAAUUUUUCUAGGAUCAAGCCCUGUCUACUCCUAUAUCUCAUUUUUCAUUUAUAUUGUGUAUUUCCAUUUACCAAAAAAUAUAUUUUCAACAAUUAAAAUGUCUUUUCAAAAUAAUUUAUAUAUUUAAAAAAUAUAUUAAAAUUAAUAUAAAUUAUAAUAAUUAAUAAUUAAAAAAAUAUAUUAGAAAAUUAUAGUUAAAAAAAUUGUUUGACUUUCAAGAUUUCAUCUGCCUCACAUAAAUUAAUGUAAAAAAUGAUAUACUUUCUCCGUCAACAUGCUUGUUUCUUCUGCCUGCUUUAGCUACUUCCUCCGUCAUUUUAUUAUAUCAUCUCUAAUUAAUUAUUAUAAUUUUAUUUAUGUAUUAUAAAAUUAAUAAUAUCUAAUAAAAAAUAAAAAGAUAUUUAUGACAUCUCUGUUUCAGCUGUUUCACCCAUAAUUUGACUGUAUCACCCAUAGUUAAUUAUUAUAAGUCAUCUAAAUAUUAAAAAAUUAUUAUAAAGUCAUCUAAGUAUUAAAAAAUUAAUAAUAUUUAAUAUUAAAUUUACUUGACAUUUUAUAUGAGACCCAUUUAAUUUUUUCCUGCAAGUAGUUUUGUAUAGUAAUUUUUUUGUAUCACUUUUAAUUAGACAUAUAUGUUUCAUUGUUUCAAUGUGAUUUUNNNNNNNNNNNNNNNNNNNNNNNNNNNNNNNNNNNNNNNNNNNNNNNNNNNNNNNNNNNNNNNNNNNNNNNNNNNNNNNNNNNNNNNNNNNNNNNNNNNNNNNNAGAGAGAAUAAUAAGUUAAUCAAAAAAAUUUCACAAGUAUUUUUCAUAGUAAUUUUGCUAUAUCACUUCUAAUUAGUUGUUGUGAGUCAGUAAGAUAUGUCUGCUUCGCUGUUUCAAUCGUAAUUUUAUCAUAUUACCCAUAAUUAAUUAUUAUGUUCAUCUAAGCAUUAUGACACUUAAAUUGGAAUAGAAGAAAAAAUAUUAUACAUCACAAUAAUUUAAAACUUAAAUUAUUUAAAAAAUGUAAUUGACUAUCAAUGCCACAAAAGUUUGGACAACGAGACCGAUAUAUAUUAUUUGAAAAUUACAUAAAAAGUAUUAUAAAUUACAAUAAUAAACAGCUUUGAAUAUCUAUAAAAAAUAUCUGUUAUAUAUCUUUAAAAAAAUAUUAUAAAUCACAAUAGCUAAAAUAAUUUUUAAAAAAAUAUUGUUGGACCCGUGCCUUGCACGAGCUGUUAGUAAGGAGUAGUUGUUUUUAGAAGAUUAAAAGAUGGGAUCAUUUAAGUGAAAAGAAAGAACUAAGUUGCUUUUCAAUAUCACAUUUAAUUGCCUAGAAAAAAGUUAUUUGAGAAAAUUAUAUUGUACAAGCCAUCAAUAUAAGCAUUUGAAUUUAUUUAUUUAUUUAUUAGGAAACAUUUUUCCUCUCAUACAAUAUUACUCUUAUCGUUAUAUAACUACAACAACUUGAUUUAAUAUUCAAAUUUAAUUCUGUAAAACAUUAGAAUAUUUUGUACGAGUAAUUUGGUAAAAUUCUUUAUAAUAAGUCAAUGGAAGACUAAACGGAAAGUAAAGAAUAUUUGAUUACAGUAAAAAUAGGGUUUACAUAGACAUUAAUGUAAGCAUCUAGCAGUUUGAACUUAACAAAGUCUUUUUUCUUUUUUUUAAUCAUAGUGUCGAACUUACGUAUAGCUCAAGUUCACUAAAAUAUUUCACUAAAAUAAACUAGUGUUUGGUCAUAAAUUCUCAAAAAAUGAAAUUUAACUUAAAUGCUAGUUUUUUCUAAUAUUUGAAAAUUUGAAUUAUUUAUCAAACAAUAGAAAUUGUAUGACCAAACACUAUUUGCCAUUUUUUUUUUUUUUUAAAAACUAGUUGAAAAAUCUAUGAUCAAACGAGUGCCAAGAAAAAUGAUCCACCGGAUCUAUGAACAAAAGUUAUUUUAUUUUAGUGUAAAUACAUAGUUACCCCUGAUCUUGUCCGAAUUUUGCAAAAAGACACCUAAACUUUAACUUCGACCUAUUACCCCACGAAUCUUCUUUAUUCCAUUACAAAUACACCAUUUUGAUCCUCUGCGUGUAUACACGUGCCACAAGCACGUGAAAAGGCAAAAAUUGACUUUUUUGACCAAUUANNNNNNNNNNNNNNNNNNNNNNNNNNNNNNNNNNNNNNNNNNNNNNNNNNNNNNNNNNNNNNNNNNNNNNNNNNNNNNNNNNNNNNNNNNNNNNNNNNNNNNNNNNNNNNNNNNNNNNNNNNNNNNNNNNNNNNNNNNNNNNNNNNNNNNNNNNNNNNNNNNNNNNNNNNNNNNNNNNNNNNNNNNNNNNNNNNNNNNNNNNNNNNNNNNNNNNNNNNNNNNNNNNNNNNNNNNNNNNNNNNNNNNNNNNNNNNNNNNNNNNNNNNNNNNNNNNNNNNNNNNNNNNNNNNNNNNNNNNNNNNNNNNNNNNNNNNNNNNNNNNNNNNNNNNNNNNNNNNNNNNNNNNNNNNNNNNNNNNNNNNNNNNNNNNNNNNNNNNNNNNNNNNNNNNNNNNNNNNNNNNNNNNNNNNNNNNNNNNNNNNNNNNNNNNNNNNNNNNNNNNNNNNNNNNNNNNNNNNNNNNNNNNNNNNNNNNNNNNNNNNNNNNNNNNNNNNNNNNNNNNNNNNNNNNNNNNNNNNNNNNNNNNNNNNNNNNNNNNNNNNNNNNNNNNNNNNNNNNNNNNNNNNNNNNNNNNNNNNNNNNNNNNNNNNNNNNNNNNNNNNNNNNNNNNNNNNNNNNNNNNNNNNNNNNNNNNNNNNNNNNNNNNNNNNNNNNNNNNNNNNNNNNNNNNNNNNNNNNNNNNNNNNNNNNNNNNNNNNNNNNNNNNNNNNNNNNNNNNNNNNNNNNNNNNNNNNNNNNNNNNNNNNNNNNNNNNNNNNNNNNNNNNNNNNNNNNNNNNNNNNNNNNNNNNNNNNNNNNNNNNNNNNNNNNNNNNNNNNNNNNNNNNNNNNNNNNNNNNNNNNNNNNNNNNNNNNNNNNNNNNNNNNNNNNNNNNNNNNNNNNNNNNNNNNNNNNNNNNNNNNNNNNNNNNNNNNNNNNNNNNNNNNNNNNNNNNNNNNNNNNNNNNNNNNNNNNNNNNNNNNNNNNNNNNNNNNNNNNNNNNNNNNNNNNNNNNNNNNNNAUUGGAGUGUAUAUAGUGUAUAUUGGAUUUUUUAUUUAAUUUUUAAACGGGUUUGACCGGUUUUUAAUCGGGUUUGAUCGGGUUUUGAUGGGUUUGACUGGGUUGGGUUAAGUGGGCCGGGUUAGGGUGGGUUUUAAUUUUUUUACUGUUUGGCCCGGCCCGCCCAGAUCCGGUUAACGUGACCCUUAACCGGCCCUCAAUCCGAUUAAAAUGGAAGGACCGGUUCCGGGUUGGCCCGACCCGACCCGUUUGACACCUUUAACCUAAUCUUUCACAGGAUAUUAAAAAAUUACUAGUAGUAGCGCACCGUCCAAAUAAACAACUGAAUAAAAGCAAAUAAUGACUUUAGCUUAUAUUUGCACAACACUCAUCCCCGUCCUUACCAAUUAUUUUCUUUAUCGAAAAAGAAUAUUUAUAAAAUUCAAGAUUAAAACGAGUUAUAAAUAUUUGUAUGAUUAUAAAUUAUAUCAUUAAAAAUAAGAUAAAAUAAUUUAUCUUUAAAAAAAAGUCAAUGUGUUGGGGUAUAUGAAAAAUUAAGGAACUUGUUAUAAAAUUAGAUGUUAGAGGUCCGUGCUUAUAUUUUAUGUUAAUGUUGUAUUGUAUAAUAUAUUUGAAGUUUGUUCUAGAAGUCUGAUCUGUAAAAAAAAGACUAAAGUUAUAAAGUUACUCUUUAAGUAGAUUUUGAUUCGUCUAUAAUAUAUGAUUGCAAUAAAGAAUUAUAUAUGCAAUGCAUAGUUUUUAGGCUUGUUUCAUAAUGACGAUAAAAGAGCUUCAUAAAGUUGAAUUCCAUAUGUUAAUGCAUAAAGCAUUUGUAGAAAAUUAACAGAAUCACAUGUGUUUUCUUUGAAAUUUGAAUUCCCUUUCCCAAAGGGGAACAAAUUGGUACGACUGAUUAAAGAAAAUGGACAACUUAUCUUUCUAUCGAGUUCAAUUAGUAGGACAAUUAAUAUCAAGAUCUGUUACUUCUUCGAAGCAAUGAACUCCCAGACUUCCGGUAGUCAGCCAGGUUAUUCACUGCUUCUUCUAGCUGGCGUUGAAGGGAGAUUAGGGUCUCAUACUUGAGUUCAGCAGCACGAUUCAAGUCAUAAUCACGUUCAACAGCUUCCAUAUCUAAGUUCACUCUAUCAAUCUACUCAAUGAAAAAAACUUGACAGUAAUCAUGAGAAUACAAAGAAAAACUUGACUUGAAUUGAUUUCAGUAUCAGAACCAGCAAUUCACCUCCUCCUUUAUAGAACAUAUGCAUGUCAUGAGAGCUUUCUCGCUUUCCCACUGUUCAUUUAACUCUUUCUGUUUUUGCUUGAGGGACUUCAAAUCACUUUCUAGCUUGUUCUGUUUUUCUUUUCAGAUGCUUUAUCCGUGUCAUUUUUCAGAGAAAGUUUCUUCAUUUUCAACUUCAUCACAGUCCUAUCUAUCUCAUCCAAUUCAGUUGGUUUUGAAGUAAUUUCCAUCUUUAGUUUUGCAGCAGCUUUAUCAACAAGGUCAAUUGCUGAAACGUAAGGAUAGAAUAUAGAGUAAGAAACGGUAAAGAAAAGUCUAUAAACAUUCUUCAAGAUCUUGAGAUCUUGAUCCACCAGUCCACUCUAUAAUAAAACAUUUGAUUUGAAGGAGACAAAAAUAAGAAGCUUCUACCCUGUAACCUGAUCUAUAACCAAUUCCUCUAAAGAAACUCCAACAAACAUGUGAGUAAAUAAAACAAGAUAGGAAGAAAGAAUUGAGUGAAAAUUCAACUUUCGAAAAUUCCCUCAAGCCAUUGGAAUUUUUAAAUAGCUAAGUGUACACAUUCUAAGAAAAGAAAGAGGAAGUAAAUACAGAAAAUAAAUCAAGCUAUAACAUAAGUAAUACAUAAGAUUUUACAACUUUUACAAGAUUCUAAUACUCUCCCUCAAGAUGGUGCAUAAUAGGGACUUGAUGAAAAUAUUUACAAGCUAAUCAUUUGACUUCACAAAAUUUGUAAAUGUCUUCGAAAGUAUAUUUUCUCUGUUGAAGUGGUCCCAACGUCUUUAGUUUUUUAAAUGGAACACAGGAUUUGAUGCAACUUGAUUAUCGGAUACACAUUUCAUUUGACUGAUUUCUCCAAACUUAGAUCUCUGGGGAAUUGUUUGAUCAAAAUUAGUUCGCAAGUUGCCACAACUUUCGCUCGGUGAUCUACUUUUGCAAAAUUGAGCAGCCACAUUUUAUUUCUUGCUCUUCCAAGACAUCAAACCUAUCAGAAGGUGAUCCAGCCUAAUCAGCAUCAAUGCAUCCCACAAUUUGUUCAUGACUUUGAUUCUCAAAAAACAUGAUAACAAAAUAGAUCUUUGGAUCUGACUGAACCCAAACAGCUAGCUCAAGAAGUAAGGAUUGUCAGUACUAAGUAUGGUACUAUUACUUCAUUUUCUUACUGAACCCCAAAAGUUCAUUUUUUGGUCUUAUUACUUCAGAUUGUUUGCAAGGAUUGUAUAAAGUAUGGUACUAUCUUUUUUGAUUGUAUCUUGAGGUUUUCAAUUUUCUACAACCCCCGCCCCUUCCCCACCCUAAUGAUAUAUUUUGUUUUCGCAUGUUAAAAAGGAUCAAACACAAUUCCCAUAAAAAGGUAAAUUAGAGAGGUUAUUUUCGAAAGAUCCCGGCUCAAGAAAAUUUCAUAUAACAAGCCUUUAAUAAAUAUUUUAAGUGCAUAUACAAGAGAAGACAAAAUGAUAAAAUCAAAAUUCUAGAUUGUCAUUGUAGUCACACAUACAAAAGGGAUAGCAAAAUCCAUCUACAAAAUCCUAUAUCUCACAAAUAGAUAAUAAAAUUUAAGGAAAAAAAAUCCCUUUCUAGAUUUUGCAUGUACCCAUGUACCCAACUCCCAAAAUUUAGCACAAUAGUUAAAUCUACUGGGAUGCACACAUUCUACAUAAAAAAAAUUGCUGUCACAUUAAUUCAUCAACUGAUUAACAAUAUCAACUGCAUCAAAAUAAAUUAAUCUCAAAAGAUCAGAACUGUUUUCACAAGUCUGGAGAGGAUAAAGUGUACACAAGACUUACCACUACCUCGAAAUGAUGCAAGUUCCUAACACAACAUUCACACAUGUUCUCACGAUAUAAGUAAAGAUCCCUUGAAUAUUCCAACAGAAAAAUAAGAACUUGCAAAAUAUGACUACUUCUAUUCUGUCAGAUGAAGCCUUAACAACAAAUAUGAUCUAGUUCUACCUCCAACUUCACCCCCACCCCAAAAAACCACAAGCAUAGAGAGUGGAACUGUCAAAGCCAAAAACAGAUUAGUUCAAGAAGCUUAAGAAACACAAAUUAAACAAAAUCAAUAUUCGCAAAAUUUAUCAAAAGUAGUAAUACAUAUUUCAUUACACAACUCCCAUCAAUUAUAAUUCCAAAAAAUAGAAUGAAACAGAAAUCUUUUGAGGGAAGCAAGAGUAACUCGCCAAAGUUAGUUUCAAUGUCUUCAAAAGACAAAGUAAGAUUCUUUUCCAUCAAAUUACACUUCCAACAACUUUAAAAUCCCCGAAAGACAGAACUGAUCCUCAAAAGCACCCAAAAAUUCACCAUCCCACUUCCCGAAUCUAAAAAAUUCAAUAACCUUUUUCUCAAUUUACCAAAUCACAAAAAGAAAAACUAUAAAAACACUCGGACUUUACUAUUUUUGACCUAUUCAAACGCUCAAAUUUUAAUGUUAAAUUUCAAAAAAAUACACAAGAAAAAGAAAGAAAAACUUCAAAAUAAUCAAGAAUUCAGUAUUCUCAAAACCCCACAACUCCUUUUGUCAAAUUUCAAGAAAAUUCACAAAGAAAACUUUAAAACAAUCAAGAAUUACUAUUUUUCAAAAUCCAACAACCUCGUUAGUCAAAUUUCUCAGAAAAAAAGAAGAAGAUAGUCUCAGAAUGCUGAGAGAAUAGAAACAUAAGUUUCCAUAAAAAAUGAGUUGUGAUUAUAAGGCUUUUGAGAUUGACACUUUUAGAUUUUUCUUUUAUGCAAUAAUGUUGUAGAAGGAAUUGUACAACUAAAAGGGAAGGAUCAACAGCUCGGAUAAUAUACAAAUGUAUAUCUCUUUUGUGUUAUCUAAAAUACACUACAACAAUGUGCAUAUAUCGCUAUAAAAUUCGUUGUACCUAAAUAUAAAAAAAAAUAAAAUUGGCUAAGUGCUUUAGCUACAAGAAUUUUUUCCGUAGUAUGUGUAGCUAGAAGUGACGUAACUAAAAAUCAACUGAAAAUUUUAGUAUUUCAUGGCUAAGGAUUUAUACCUAUUGCUAUAAAAAAAUUUGUGAUGUGGCUAUUCUAAAAAGGUAUAACUGCCACGAAAAUAUCACUAUAAGAAAAUGGCUAAAUUGUGACAGAGAUUUUAGUCACAAAUCACUAUUUGUGACGGAAAACUGUGCGUCUCAGAACCUUUGGUCAUAAAAUCAUUGUGACGGAUUUAAUUUCCGUCACAAAAUUAUUGUGACGGAACUGAGACAGAUCGUCCGUCACAAUAUAAAUACUUAAAUUUGACUUAAAUUCCGUCACAAAUUUAUAACAGAUUUUUGACAAAAUAUUCCGCUAUAAAAUAGUGACAAAAUAAUUUCCGUAACAAAUUUUCAAACCUAGUCACCACAAUUGUGACAAUAUAUUUCGUUACAAAUAAUUUGUGACAGACUAAUGUAGUCACAAUUUACGAUAGAUUGUGACAGAUUAAAUAUGUUACAAAUUUUAUUUGAAUUUUUAAUUUUAAUAAAUUAUAAUUACGAAAUACUAUGCUCUCUCACUCUCUCUCUCUCACACACACACACUAUAUACAUAUAUAUAUAUAACAUAAUACAAGAUUUAUAAUAAAAAAUAUAUGAAGUUAAUUAAAACGUGCAAAAUCACAACUUCAAUAAGCAAAAGUCUACCAAUGUUUAAAAUUUAAAGUAUAUAACUAUCCAAAAAAGUGUGACAAUGUUCAAGUAGACACUUCAAGUAACUAAAAUCUUAAAAUAUUAAACACUUAAGCAUUAGAUGAGUCCUAUUAGGGGGAGUAGGAUUACUAAUGAGCAAGAAGAUAAUGUCAUAUCGCUCAUCAUGCGAGACCAUUGCUCCUCCAUAGAUUUGAAUCGAUCAUCACUUUGUUGCCUCAAACGGAAAACCUCUUGCUCUACUCGUUGUUGCAGCUCUAACUCUACACACUCUUGAAGAACUCUCUAUUAAUUUUCUCUCAUAUACGACACCUCUUUCUCAAGUAUUUUGAUGCGCUCUUCGGCAACAUGAUCAGACACUACAGGCAAAUUGCAUGUCAUAUCUUUAUACAAGGUUGAAGCUUAAGAUCCCAAUCCAUACACACAUUAUUUUUUUGCUCCACCCAUAAUAUCGAAGUACAUGCGGUUUGUAUCAAGUUCUUGAUCUUCUGAUGAAUCAUCUGUCGAUCCCGAAAGAGCAGUAGCUAUGACAACCUCCAUUUUAUCUUAAAAAAUACAAAUAAUCAGCCAACAAAAAUAGUAUGAAACAAACAGAAUGCUAAAACUAUUUAUUAAUAAGCAAAAGGUAAAUGUUACAGGUAUUAUUGAAUGAUGUUAAAGUAUAACAGAAAGAAAACAUAGGAUAUCCCGUAUAGAGUCUGAGCGAGCAUGUGAAUUUGUGUUGCUUGGACUCUCCAAAAAUGUUAAGCCACACCCAUGAAUGCUUCAUUUUGAAGAGUUCGAACAACUUUACGAGUGAUACUCGAGCAUCUAAAUAUCCCCCCAAUCUCCCCCCACCCACCCCCAAUGAAAACUAACAACUUUUUUAUAACCACAAGAUACAAAAACUGCUGUUAAAUUUUUAUAAUAUGUACAAGAAACUCAAAUGAACUAGUAUUUGUAUACUCUUUUUACUGCCUGACAGAAUAGUCCAGUCUAGCAAACAUAUUGAACUAAAAAGCAGAUUGACUCUAUAUUGUUCGGGCUCUUAAAAAAUAUCAUCAAAAGUGUGUCGAAUUCUUCCGAAGCUAUGCAUUUUUGGAGGAACAGACACAGAUGCGAUAAUAUUUUUGAGUGUUAUCUUGGACCUGAGAGUUUGCUAUGAAGACAUAUAUGAGAAGGAAUUGUAAGAGCUACUAGUAGUACUACUAAAGUUUCUGUUUUGUUGAUGUAACUCAAACACAUUAACCUCUUGAACCCCCUCGAUCAUCUAUGCUUCAGUGAAUGUUGCUGUGAAGACAUAUAUGAGAAGAAAUUGUAAGAUCUACUAGUAGUACUGCUAAAGUUUCUGUUUUUAGUUAGUAUUGAGAAGGGUCAGGUUGAUAAACUAGAUAAACUAAAAGAAUAAACUACGUACCUUACAUAUAUAAUAUCCUUGAGAAAAAAAAAAGCCCCUUACAUUUACAUAUACUACAUAUAUAAAACUGGUAACUUUCUUAAACUUAUUGUUUUGAUAAUCUCCAGAAUAAUUUUUUAAACAUUAAUUAAGUCUAGUUCAUGUCUCACUAUCUUGAAAACUAAUCUUCAACAAGCUAUCCUUAAGGUCACCACAUACUGUACAUCUAUCCUAACAUUUAUAUAAAUCACAAAGGGUAAGAAUCUAUUAAUAAAAUAGGACCUAUUUUGAUAUUGUUCUAAUAUCUCUAAACAUUGGCAUGAACUAAUCGAGAGUUCAGCUCAAAAAGUCAUGUCAUUAGGCUCAUUCAGACAUGGUUAUUCAUAGUCACUACUUUUUAAAUCACUUUAAGUGAUGUACUCCAGUAUUGUGUAAGAUUUUUAUCUCAAUGGAAGGUAAAUCUUCUCAUUAUGAGUAUGGUGUCAUUACCAUUUGCCUUGCAAUUAGAGAGGUCCUCGCGUGGAAUGGUGGGUGUACGUGCACCUGUUAACUUCAGAAAAAGUUGUGUACAAAUUUGUAUAUAACUUUCAAAUUAGUAUAUUAAGUGUGCACAUUCUCUUCUAGAUUGAAAGUAGCUUUGAGGGAACGCUGGUCGCAGACGCAAAUUUCUUGAUAUUUAAGUUCAAUCUUGAUAUUCAGUUGGAGAUCCCUGAAAACACUUCCUUUUCCAAUUCUGUUUCAAGCGAAUGAAAGAUAAGCGAUGCCAACCAAAUGACAUAACUUACUCUGUUAUGGUUGAGGCAUAUAGAAAAUAAGGUAUGACAGACAAAAUUUAUGAUUUAGAGCAAGAGAAGCAGAUGAUGUCUGCCUCAGAAUCCAGCGACGAUAGCCUUCCUAAUGAAGAAACACUAGAGUUGAUGCCUACAUGAAAGCUAAUAUACAAUUGACAUUUGAUGAUGCAUUUCUGGUUAGUUUACUCAUCUAACUGGUACUACAGGAAUAGACCUCCUGACCUUGAAUUCUAGGCUAAAGCUAAUUAGUUGUUCACAACAAAAGUGAAGGUACUUACAGAAACAUAAAACAGAAGCAGAAAGAUUAUUACAUGGAAAUGUUGCAGGCAUACAUAAAUAUUGAUACAAGAUCAAGUUCAAACACAAGAAGCAAACCACAACAAGAACAACAAGAUGUCAACGAUAAUGCUAGUGAAUCGAAAUAGGCCACACACGGCUUUACUAAACUUCAAGAGUUCAACAAAAAAAUAGAUUUUUAAGAGUACAAGAUUGCAACAAGUGUAGUGAAUCGAAAUUGGCCCCACACGACUUCACUACUUCAAGUUACAAACAACAAUUCACUCUACUUGCAAGAUCUAUAUUGAUCUCAUGCUUUCAAUAUCUAAAGAAUGAGAAGCUUAAUAGAAAACUUACAUUAAUGCUCUUCGACUUAGCAUCAACAAAACUGCCAUCCUUUUUUUGGUGUAACUUCUUAAAUAUCUCCCAUGAAUUUGGUUCACGACCCAUUUUGGUUGCCUAAAAAAAAAGUUCAACAUUAAAAGCGAAGAUAAAGUCAAAGAAUUAAUCUAUUAAAGUAUGAAAUUUAUCAAUUUUAUAGUAUGCUCCACUGUUGACCUGGAACCACCGGUAUGCUUACUUGGACCAGUGCCCGGACCACCAGUUUCACUACAUCAAUUUUGAGUUGCAAUAUGAGAUUUGUUCUUAAACUCAUCAGAAGCCCAAUAUUUCUUCCAGCUUUGCCAAACGUUAUCCAACACAAAAUUUGGUUUGUUUAUUUUUCUUCGCCAAUGAUAUAUUCUUUUUGUAUAUAAGUUGGAUGCCACCUUCUUCCAGGUGCGUUCGAUUAUGGAGUUCUCUGUAGGAUUCUACUGAUAUGAUUUCUAGAAAAAAUAUUAGUUAGAGACAUAAACACAACAAUAACAUUAUAAAUUUCUAAUAUAAAGUAAUAUUUACCAUGAAUUCAUGCCAAUAGAAUUUACAAGUGGAUUCAGUAACACCCCUCCAUGUGUAUCCAGUAGCAUCUUGUCAUUCCUUAAAAUUUUUUGUGAUAGUCUUUGAGAUAGAAUGGCCAUUAGGAACAAACCUAAAAUAUAAUUAGAAAGAGUAAAUUAUACAUUUUAUGAAAUUUAUUUUUUAAAAAUGAUAAAUAUUUUUUGUAAAAGUAUCUUCUCUUACUUUUCUCCGACAACUGAUAUGACCAACCGCCUAGUUGUUGAUGACCUGCUACUAGACCUAAUAGGAAUAUCUAUGGAACUAGGAGUAUCAGGAGAACCAGCAACCAAUGAUGGUGUAUCACUCAUAUUCUAAAAUGACAAUUAUUCUAUAACUGCAAAACAAAGUCCAUGAAAAACGAAUCAUGUGAAAUAAAUUAUUUACAAAGACAUAAAGAAAGAAGAAAAAAGUCAACACUUUUAUCCAUUCUAUUCCACUUUAAGAAGAAGAGCAUCAGUGUCUUCUGACACUAGAAACAACCCCACCAAGAAGCAUCAAGAAUCUUGAAGCUCAAAACUUUUCAGCUAUUUCAAGGACUCUAACAACAACCACAAUCCACAAAAGGAAAUCUAGCUCCGAAUUACUAACAACAGGAAAAAUUAGAUUCACAAUAAAGGAAGUAGUAUCAAAACUCAGCACAAACUAGUACAUGUAACUACUAACAACAGGAAAAAUUAGAUUCUUCUUCUUUUCUUUUUAUGAAGUUCACAUUUCUCCUUUUCCUCCUCCUUCUCCUUCUCCUCCUCCCCUUUCUCCUCAUUAUUAUUAUUAUUAUUAUUAUUAUUAUCAUCAUCAUCAUCAUCAUCAUCAUCAUCAUCAUCAUCAUCAUCAUCAUCAUCAUCAUCAUCAUCAUCAUCAUCAUCAUCAUCAUCAUCAUCAUCAUCAUCAUCCUCAUCCUCAUCCUCAUCCUCAUCCUCAUCCUCAUCCUCAUCCCUAUCCCUAUCCCCAUCUACAUCCCCAUCCCCAUCCCCAUCCUCAUCCUCAUCCUUAUUUUUUUCCUCAUACUCCCCCUCCUUCAUGUCAAUAAGCAUACCAUCUAGAUCAUUCAAUGUGUUAAAUAUUUUAUUUUCAUCAAUAUCAAUCUCAUGAAUUUGACUAUCAUCUUCUUGAAAAGCUGAAUCAUUCAAUGUAUGAGGUUGCUCUACUUUUUUGGGAACAUCUACAACAGAGCGUUCCUUUAUUGGGCAAACGACUAACCAUUCACUCACUAUCUUUUUUACAGUAGGAUAUAUUUCAAAAUUCACCUGAGAUACUUGUAUAACCAUAAUAAAUGGUUCAUAUUUGUUAAACAAUCUUCUCUUGUUAGCAUCAACAAGAUUAUAUUGUGGAUGCACUCUUGUACCAUGCUUUUACAUCGGAUCAAACCAAGAACACUUAAAUAACACGGUUCGCUUGAAUGGUAAUGCAUUAUACUCUAGUUGCAAAUCUCUAUCAAUCAAUCAUAGUAAUUGAUAUUAUCUGCACUAUGGAUAGAGCCCUUGAUGCAUACACCAUUAUUCAUCGUAGAUUUAUUUGAACCGUAUUCUUCAGUGUGAAACUAGUAACCAUUUACGGCAUAUCCAUUAAAGGGCGGAACCAUAUGUAAUGGCCCUUCUGCAAGAUCUUUCAUGAUUUGAUUGGUAAUGCCGGAAGAAGGAUUUUGUGCCUAUUGACAUUAUAAAUAAUUAGACAUCAAUUAAGAUUGCAUUUUGUGAAUAAUAGUGAAUAAUUAAGAAUAAUUUAAACCUUUUAAUAAUUACUUAUUUUUCAAACCAAGAUGCAAACUCUGUUUCAAGUUUAGUGCCAAUCUCUCCAUCUUGAAUACAUGGUUGUAUUUGUCUCAAGAUGUCUACAUAAAUUCUGAAGAAAAAAAAGGUAAUUUAAUUUUAAUAUCAAAUUUUUUAUUGAUAUUUACACAUGAUUCAUAAUUAACUUACUUGAUAUAUGGUUUUACUUCAUCACAAUUCAACAAAAUAUAUGUACGAGCUACGUGAUAUUCUUUAUCAUCUAACCUCCUCUUUUUCAGCUUACCAAAACCUCGACCAGCUUGGUUAAAAAUAGAAAGCAUCUCAGGAUCAUCCUGUUCAACUCCACCAUCAUCUAAAUGUCGUGGAACUUUUCUGUGUCGUGUCGGAAUGUGUGACUUAAUGUAGUGCGCACAAAAUAAAGAUUCUUGUUCAACUAAAUAUGCGUUGCAUAUAGAAGCUUCAACUUUAUUCUUAUUUUUGACAUCAUUCUUGUAUCUACGAAUAUUUCUACAAACAUUAAAGUAUGUCAAUAUGGUAUAAUUGAUAUAUUUAUUUGCAUAUGUUAUAACAUAUAAUAAAUUAUAUUUACCUCUCAGUCGGAUACAUCCAUCGUCCUUGAACCGGGCCCGCUAAAUGUGCUUCAUAAGCUAAAUGGAUAGGAAGAUGUUUCAUGGAAUCCUAGAAGCUUGGAGAAAAAGUAUGCUCAAGCUUAGUCAAGAUGAGAGGAAUAUUUUCUUCUAAUUGUCUCAUGUGUUCUUCUGUAAUUGCUGUAGAGGUGAGAUCUUUAAAGAAAAGACUCAACUCCGUCAAUGGUUGUCACACAUUUCGUGGAAGCAAUUCUCAAAAUGCAAUAGGUAUUAACUGUUUCAAAACACAUGACAAUCAUGACUCUUCAUACCAAAAAGUUUAAGCUUGUUCAUCUCAACACAUCUUCCCAGAUUAGACACAUAACCAUCAGGAAAUCUCAACUCUUGCAACCAUUUAUAGAGAAAUUCUUUAGCCUUAUCAUCUAGCAUAUAACAAGCAUUUGAAUACUUUUUGGUACUUUUAUUCUGGUGUAACGCAAAGUAGUUUUAAAUCUUCUCUAGAUUUUGCAUUGUCCUUUAUUUUUUCCUUGACAUUCAUCAUAGUGUUGAAGAUAUUAUCAAAAAAAAAUUCAAUAUGCAUCAGAUCAAGGUUAUGCCUAACAUGAUUUGUUGGCCAGUAAGACAAGUCCCAAAAAAUACUUCUUUUCUUCCAACCACAUGCAUUAUUCUUUAAAAUUUUGGCAUUUAUCACAUCAGAACCAAGUUCUAUCACUUUCAUGAGUCCCAAGUCCUCAAUCUCCUUAAGUAUUUGUACACCCGAUUGUUCCGUAAAUGCAAUCUUCUGUAUUGCUUGACCUCUCUUGAACCACUUUUUAUUUUUUCGCCACGGAUGAUUCGGUGGUAAGAACUUUCUGUGAUUAUCAAACCAUGAGAUCUUUCUACCCCAUUGGGUAGUGAAAAAACAUCAGAAUCUUUCAUGCAAUAAGGACAAGCUAAUUUUCCCGUUGUACUCCAACUCGAUAACAUUAAAUACGCACAAAAAUCACUUAUUGUCCAAAUCAAUGCAACUUUCAUUUGAAAAUUAUUCUUACUUGAAACAUCAUAUGUUUGAAUUCUCUCCUCAUAUAAUUCAUUUAACUCUUGAAUGAGAGGCUACAAAAAGACAUCAAUUUUUUGUUUUAGAUUUUUGGGGCCAGGUAUAAUCACAGAAAAAAACAUGUAUUCAUCUUUCAUGCACAUCCAAGGUGGCAAAUUAUAUGGUGUAACUAUCAUAAACCAAGAAGAAUAUUAUUGGCCAAAUUGACCAAAAGGUUGAAAACCAUCAGUUGACAAACCCAAUCUAACAUUUCUCACUUCAGAUGCAAAAGAAGGGUGUGCCUGAUCAAACUGUUUCCAAGCAGGAGAGUCAGAGGGAUGACGCAUCACACUAUCCCUUUUAUGCUCAGAAUGUCAUCUCAUAUGUUUUGUUGUAGCAUCGGAUGCAUACAAUCUUUGUAAAUGCGGAGCUAAAGGAAAAUAAUACAUCUUCUUAUAAGAAAUAUUAAUUUUCUUCUUGGAGCGUUGAUGCUUUGAUCUCUUAAAUCGAGGGUGAGAACAAAACUUGCAAUUGACAAGUUCACUAUCCUCCCGCCAAUAAAGCAUACAACUAUUUUUCCAAUAAUUAAUCUUUUCAACCGGCAAGCCCAAUCCUCUCAUUAGCUUUUUGGUACUAUAAAAGCUAUCUAUCAUUAUGUUAUUAGUUGACAUCAAUUCUAAUAUAAAUUCACAUAACUCAUCAUACAAUCUUUCAGAAAAAUAAUGUUCCGCCUUUAGAUUCAACAAACGAGCAACGAUAGACAAUUGUGUUUGUCCAUGUGGAUUUUUCGACCAAAUUUCUUGUUCCGAUGCUUUGAGCAAAUUAUAAAUAUUUUGUGUUGUGGGAUUUGGAUCCUCUUCUAUGUUACCAUCAAAAGAAGGCCCAGCAACAUCAAAAACUAUAGCUCGAAAUUCAUUAUCAGACUAGAAUUCACGGUUUCACCUGAAGCUUCUUCUUGAUGAUUACCAAACACACUUGGACCUGGAAUAUAACUUUAUCCAUGAUGAUGCCAACGAUAAUAAUUCGGUACAAAGCCAUUAUUUCCAAGAUGUGUCAUAACUGUAAACUCAUCCGAAAUAUUUUUAUUUUGACACUUACGAUGAUUAUAAGGACAUCUUAAUUUUUCACCGUCCAUACAUUCUGGAUGAAUUUUUGCAAAUCCAACAAAGCUCUCAACCCCAUCAAUAAACCUAGGAUUUAUGAAUCCAUCUUCCAACAAUCUACCAUACAUCCACUCACGAUCAGAAUUAUUCAUAUCGUGCACUCUGAAAUCGAAUAAAUAUGUUAACACUUACAUGUUGAUAAGUAAUUUUCAUAUAACAGUACAACAUAGAUAUAAAUUUGAGCCUACAAAUAAUGCUACCAUAGAAAUGCUGAAAUUUUAGAAAGUGCUCCAACUUCUAUUCUUUUUGGAUGUCAAAGGGACUUCAGGCUCUCUAGUGCAACUAGGUCCAUACUUCCAGAUAUUAUGCAAUUGAUAAACAAAAUCUUCACAAUGACUCAAACUCAAUCUAAAAUCAUACUCAAAUGAAUAUGGAUGUCCUUAUGACAUAACAAACAAUUUAGUAUUCCAGAAAAUCAGAAACAGAACUACCAAAAAACAUCAUACUAAAUCUGCAACGGAAAGAACCGACUCUCAAUCAGAGAAACAUCAACUUCUGUUGCACCAAAUUCAUUCACAUUUUGUUUCCCUUUGAUGUAACAUAAAUGGGAAAGUCAAACUACAGGUUGCUUCCUAGGAAUUUUACAAGGUUCAGUGAAGCAUUAUCAUGAUUAUCAAUAGAAACAGAACUUUAUGGAAACUACCAGACACCAAAAAAUUUACAUUCCGACAAAAUCCCAAAAACCAAUAAGAUUGUAAAUUAAUAAACAAGAAAUUUUUAAUUGGAUCUCUUACACGAUAUACUCAAAAAUAAAGCCAAAAAAAGAAGUACCAUCAAAAUAAAGUAAUUUUACCUCAAGAAUAUAAGGAUAACAAUAGAAUUUGAACAUCCACUUCAUCAAAAUGGAGAAUGACGAUGAACAUCCACUUUGUCAAAAUUGUAAGUUAAUCUGGUGCUUGUUUAACUCCUAUUCUUUGCAACUAGAGAAGAUUAGAAGACUGCCAUGCUUACUCUACUAAUGUGCAUCAAAAUGCUAACAUAAAAAUUGAAAAAUCCACAACCAGAUAAGAAAUGGAACAAACAGUUCAAAAAUAGCCAUUUUAAGACAUAUCCAACUAUAGUUAUGCAAAGGGUUAAUCAACAUCCAGUUAAUAAAAUCUUUCAAUUUCUCAUCCGUAACAAAAUCACUAGUAAUCCACUCACUAUAAAAGCGCUUGAUAUGAAAAUCCAAGUAAGACAUUAUUUUUCAUAUAUAGUACCAUCUUUUAGACAAUCUGCUUAGCUUAUAAACUUCAAAAAUGUAGAGGUGUGAAAGGAGAUUGUGGAGUAUUUCAUCUGGUAAAUAGCUCUCCUAAACAAGAAGAAGAAUAGAACGUACCUUCCAGAAUCGAGAGGAAUCGAAAAGAAUAGAAUGUACGGUUAUUGCUCUUCAAUACCUUUUUGCCUGAAAAGGGUUUUCUAUUUUAUGAGGGAGCUGAAAAGAUGUGAAAAAUAUUGAAGGAAAACAAAAA